CGGGUCGUAGCUCAACUUGGCGGAGCACGCGGUUUGGGACCGCGAGGAUGCAGGUUCGAAUCCUGUCGACCCGA
Molecule: transfer RNA, 74 nt
Filed under: Micromonospora echinospora
Lineage: Bacteria; Bacillati; Actinomycetota; Actinomycetes; Micromonosporales; Micromonosporaceae
Description: tRNA_Pro_TGG
Rfam family: tRNA
About the family: Transfer RNA (tRNA) molecules are approximately 80 nucleotides in length. Their secondary structure includes four short double-helical elements and three loops (D, anti-codon, and T loops). Further hydrogen bonds mediate the characteristic L-shaped molecular structure. tRNAs have two regions of fundamental functional importance: the anti-codon, which is responsible for specific mRNA codon recognition, and the 3' end, to which the tRNAs corresponding amino acid is attached (by aminoacyl-tRNA synthetases). tRNAs cope with the degeneracy of the genetic code in two manners: having more than one tRNA (with a specific anti-codon) for a particular amino acid; and 'wobble' base-pairing, i.e. permitting non-standard base-pairing at the 3rd anti-codon position.
Source: RNAcentral